RNAcentral lists this ribosomal RNA (451 nucleotides) under uncultured bacterium. Its description in RNAcentral is "bacterial SSU rRNA". It matches the Rfam family "Bacterial small subunit ribosomal RNA", at positions 29 to 524 of the family's 1533-position model. The record is from RNAcentral.
AGCGAACGCUGGCGGCAGGCCUAAUACAUGCAAGUCGAGCGCCCCUUCGGGGGAGCGGCGGACGGGUGAGUAACGCGUGGGAGUAUGCCCUUUGGUACGGAACAACUGGGGGAAACUUCAGCUAAUACCGUAUGUGCCCUUCGGGGGAAAGAUUUAUCGCCAUUGGAGUAGCCCGCGUUGGAUUAGCUAGUUGGUAGGGUAAAGGCCUACCAAGGCUACGAUCCAUAGCUGGUCUGAGAGGAUGAUCAGCCACAUUGGGACUGAGACACGGCCCAAACUCCUACGGGAGGCAGCAGUAGGGAACCUUGCGCAAUGGGCGAAAGCCUGACGCAGCCAUGCCGCGUGAAUGAUGAAGGUCUUAGGGAUUGUAAAAUUCUUUUCACCGGGGAAGAUAAUGACGGUACCCGGAGAAGAAGCCCCGGGCUAACUUCGUGCCAGCAGCCGCAGUAAU